This 254-nucleotide ribosomal RNA is filed under the name uncultured bacterium. RNAcentral describes it as "partial 16S ribosomal RNA". It matches the Rfam family "Bacterial small subunit ribosomal RNA", at positions 524 to 776 of the family's 1533-position model. The record is from RNAcentral.
CACGUAGGGGGCGAGCGUUGUCCGGAUUUAUUGGGCGUAAAGAGCUCGUAGGCGGCUCAGUAAGUCGGGUGUGAAAACUCCAGGCUCAACCUGGAGACGCCACCUGAUACUGCUGUGGCUAGAGUCCGGUAGGGGAGCAUGGAAUUCCUGGUGUAGCGGUGAAAUGCGCAGAUAUCAGGAAGAACACCCGUGGCGAGAGCGGCUCUCUGGAACGGUACUGACGCUGAGACGCGAAAGCGUGGGGAGCGAACAGG